AUGCCCGGCAUCAAAAGGAAGGCGGCCGGCUCCGGCGAUGCUCCCAACGCCGGGGCGGGCGAGGCGUCCCCGAGGCGGCGGGAGAGGCUCAAGGCAAGUCUGCUAAGCUUCCCCGAGGCGGCGGCGCUGGACGAGCUUCAGCUGGACGAUGCGGCCGACAGGAUCUUCAGGGAGUACGACCCCUCCACGGCGACCCCGACCCCCGAAGGCAUGGUUCGCCUGGACGACGAGAGCAUCAUCGCCGCCUUCAGCUUCGCCAACCGGUUCUUGACCUCCACCGCCGAGGACGAACCGCCCGCCGGGGUGGAUCCGCUAGGGUGGCUGGAUGAGCGGAGGCGGACGCUAGACGAGGAGACGAAGAGGUCUGAGCCCAACAACUCGCGGCUCGUCAUCGCCAAGAUACGCGUCGACUUGCUCACCAAGGGCUACGUUGAGCUCCCCAGGGCGUACGUUGAGUGCAUUCCCGUAUAG
RNAcentral lists this ribosomal RNA (471 nucleotides) under Triticum aestivum (bread wheat). Its description in RNAcentral is "partial small subunit ribosomal RNA". The record is from RNAcentral. Lineage: Eukaryota; Viridiplantae; Streptophyta; Magnoliopsida; Poales; Poaceae.